This 731-nucleotide long non-coding RNA is filed under the name Phaseolus vulgaris (common bean). RNAcentral describes it as "long non-coding RNA (PVUL_LNC002385)". Lineage: Eukaryota; Viridiplantae; Streptophyta; Magnoliopsida; Fabales; Fabaceae. The record is from RNAcentral.
UUUUACACAACCAAAUAAUUAAACUUUUCUCCUUUUUCCAUGGAGAAUGCCAACGAUACAUUUUCUUUCCCUUUUCCUUUUGGACUCGCUUGAGUUGCUUCUAAAUAUGCCUAUGAGUAUGAGUGGCUUGUGUCAAUCCCUCGCAGAUUUCAGUUCGGUGAAGUUGACAGAUAUUGGUGGAGCAGAAGUUACGAAAACGAUGUUACAGAAGUAGGUUAGGGCAUGGAUGAGAGAUGAAGGUGUGUUGCAGUAAAGUGUUUGACAGGAGUGGUGGUGGAGAUUGGUGAAGUGAAGAUGUGCAACCAAAUGGGGUCACUCUUACUUAAGGUUCAUUAAUCCACAGCUUUGUAAGGCAGCUGAAGAAGUAGAUCUUGCUUUAAUGUGCAUCAGCAUGUUAGUUAAAUUGAGAAACCCAUGUUAGUGGUAGUGCAUGAGAUUGGUAAGUUUUGGUGGUCUUGUUUUCAUCUAUAAAUGAAAGAGGAAAAAAAUAUUUUGGUUUUCUUUGUUAGAUUUUGAAAAUUUGUUUAUUAUAGGUUGCAGCUUGCAUGCAUGUGAGUGAGGGUGCUUAGAGAGAGGAAUGAUUCAGUUUGCCACACCUGCACCUUUGUCUUCUUGCGCAGCCUAUUACAAUUCUGCAUGAUGUCAGCUACAGCGCCUAACAGGCUGCAUUAAAUCAUAUUCUUGCUCCAACUCCAAACACAAACCACAUCUUUUGUAUAUCAUGAUCCAAG